Long non-coding RNA from Piliocolobus tephrosceles (Ugandan red Colobus), 1808 nucleotides. Lineage: Eukaryota; Metazoa; Chordata; Mammalia; Primates; Cercopithecidae. The record is from Ensembl.
GUGCUCUACUGCUGCAUGGUAAAUUAUCACACACUUAGCAGUGGAAAACAGACCGAGACUCUGUUGUGCUGGGGUGGGAGCAGGAGACAGGCACAGGGAGGCUACAGAGAGAAAGAAGGGGCAAGGGAGGAAAGGAGAGAGGGGGGUCAGCACCUGUGAAAAGAGGAAACGAAACAGGGCUGGUUGCUGCCUCCUGCUUCUUAAAGGAAACCACCUGCCCAUCCAGGGCCCACCUCCCCAGCCCUCAGUCCUGUUACUGUGUGCAGCGGGUUCCACACCUGAAGGGGCUAUAUGACCCAGGCCUAAUCAAUCAGCAUAUUCCCUCCUCCUGGCCAGUGAUUGGCUCAGGUUUGGUCAUAUGAUCCAAAUAGCCAAUAAGCUUCAAGAUGGGGACUCAAGUCGAAACUACUUGGGGGGAAAUCUUUCUUCCCCUCUUAACACUGUGAGGACAUAAGCAUGGAGCUGAAAGAAUCCGUCUUGCCAUCAUAAGGAGAGUCCAUCUGAGAAUGUCAACACAGAGGAAGCACUGAUAAUGUCAUCAGAGCGUCUGGAUCCAGCCACACCUGAAGCUAAUCCUAGCAUUGGCGUUUUCAAAAUGGACCCUUGGCUGGCUGGUCAUCCUACGAUCUUCACACGGCAGUGUCAGGCCUCCCAUGCUACGACUUCAGUGUCACCUAAAGGAGGCCCCCGACCACUGUGGCUAAAGAGCAUCCUGUCCCAUCAGACCUCCUCUUGUUUCCUGUUGGCCAUCUGUCCACCUCCACGAGGCAUACCCUCUGUGGUGCAAAGAGCUCAACUACCCUGGUGAUCACUGGGUCCAAGGAUAAGCACAGAUAUAGCCGUUGGACACCUGAGUUAGUACCUGGUCCCCGGGCUCUGCAGAACACUGAAGAAAAGCCACUUGAUUGGGACACGGAGCUGUCACUCAACUGAAAACCACUGAGGGCACAGGCUGAGGUCCGGUGGCCAUGAGCAGCUGCAGUCAGUGUUCUGUGAGAACAGGGAAAUCGCCCUGCUUGCCUGCCUGUGUGAAUGGGCACGGGGCUUUCGGGAUUCAACUUGGACUAGAAUAGAAACUACAUUCUGACAUCCUCACAGCUCUGUUCUUGGGGGUUUGGAGAUUUGGGGUUUGUUUUCUGAGACAGGGUCUUGCUCUGUCACCCAGGCUGGAGUGCAGUGCUGCAAUCGCAGCUCACUGUGGCCUCAACCUCCCAGGCUCAAGGGAUCCUCCUGUCUUAGCCUCCUGAGUAGUUAGAACCACAGGUGCACGCCACCACACCCAGCUAAUUUUUUAAAAAUUGUAGUCAGGAUCUCACCGUGUUGCCCAAGCUGGUCUCAAACUCCUGGACUCAAGCAACCCUCCUGCCUUGGCCUCCUCCUAAAGCGCAAGGAUUACAGGUGUGAGCCACCAUGCCUGGCUCUUUCGGGUUUUGAUAGGCACACAUUCUCAGCUUUAAAGGCAUAUACACACACUCAUAUUCACACACAUAUGUUCACACACAUAUACACAUACAUUCACAUACACACAUAAGGCUAAAGUUGUAAAAACUGACACGUUUGUCUCACAAACCUCACAGUCCACCCUUUAAAAUACAGAGCUGCAAACACAAGCAGCAUCGCCUCUGCACACGUGUACACGCAUGCUCCACCCCAACCCACACGUGUACACGCAUGCUCCACCCCAGCUGAUUUUCCAGCUCCUGGGCAGCAGGACCCAGCGGGGUAACCCCCAUCCCAGCUCAAGCGAAGCAGCAGCCGCCCAGGAGUUGGGCACAGAAGCAGCCAGAUUCCUUCAUUCCUGUGGGAGG